AGCCCGACGUGGGGGUCGAACCCACAACCUUGAGAUUAAGAGUCUCACGCUCUACCGAUUGAGCUAGCCGGGC
Molecule: transfer RNA, 73 nt
Filed under: Neurospora crassa
Lineage: Eukaryota; Fungi; Ascomycota; Sordariomycetes; Sordariales; Sordariaceae
Description: tRNA predict as a tRNA- Lys : anticodon ctt
Source: RNAcentral